UACGGGGGGGGCAAGCGUUGUUCGGAAUUACUGGGCGUAAAGAGCUCGUAGGCGGUUCCGUAAGUCAGAUGUGAAAACUCAGGGCUCAACCCGGAGACGCCAUCUGAUACUGCGGUGACUGGAGUCUGGUAGGGGAACACGGAAUUCCUGGUGUAGCGGUGAAAUGCGCAGAUAUCAGGAGGAACACCGAUGGCGAAGGCAGUGUUCUGGGCCAGUACUGACGCUGAGGAGCGAAAGCGUGGGGAGCAAACAGG
Molecule: ribosomal RNA, 254 nt
Filed under: uncultured bacterium
Lineage: Bacteria
Description: partial 16S ribosomal RNA
Rfam family: Bacterial small subunit ribosomal RNA
Source: RNAcentral